Molecule: long non-coding RNA, 540 nt
Organism: Vespa velutina
Lineage: Eukaryota; Metazoa; Arthropoda; Insecta; Hymenoptera; Vespidae
Exons: 2
Source: RefSeq, a predicted model, not a curated record
UCAUGAUUAUUAUGUAAAUUUCGAAAGAAUUAUUAUUGUUAGAGAAGUAGAUAAUUUUUAUCUAGAAUAAUUAAGAUAUCGCAUAUAUUUUUUUAUAUAUUGUCUUUUUUCGAACAUGCAGGUGCCAGUAAAUUUAUUUUAGGAGUUUUAUACAAUAUAUGUAUAUAUUUUUAUGUCCAUGAUCUUUCCAUAGUGAUAAAUCUAUGUCCGGAAGAUCUGUGCAUUUAACAAUUGGAUUUCUAAAACACGAGUAGAAUUAGAAAGGACUAUUCGUAUUCGUUCCAACAAUUAAUAUUCAUUAUUCGUUAUUCGUUAAACCAAUAAAUUUAUAACUUACGACUCGGAGACAAGUUCGAAUCCUUUGGGUUGCAUUAAUCGAAUAUUAUCACCAUUGUUACAAAAUAGUUUCGAUAUACUAGCCUUUCGUAUUUCUUCUAAUUGUUCUAAAAGCAUUAUGGUUCAUAUUUAAUUUUUAGUUUAACACAAUGUGAUUAUAUAAACAUUAUAUUGGAAAAUGAAUAUAAUUUCUUAAAAAUGGUA